RNAcentral lists this unclassified non-coding RNA (4144 nucleotides) under Daphnia magna. RNAcentral's name for it is "wD repeat-containing protein 6, transcript variant X2". Lineage: Eukaryota; Metazoa; Arthropoda; Branchiopoda; Diplostraca; Daphniidae. The record is from RNAcentral.
UUGGCGGGCUUUUUCCCUUCUUUAAAGUGGCUCUCCCUGUCCCUGUGGCUGUAGAUGAUGAAGGAGAAUUGCAGACGAAAAACUAUGCACGUGUUUGACUAUUUACGUGGUCAAACAUUAAUUUCAAUAAGAAUUUUUACAGGAAAUAAAACAUGAUAAAAAAGUUACAUUUGCAGACCCAUGUUACUGCACUGUGCAUCGUCAAACCGCAUUUUUUGCUAGAAGGUUGUGGCGGAUUUUUAAACCUGUAUAACUUGGAUUCCAAUGAGCUUUUGGAGAGUCUUGAUAUAUUCCGUGGAGCGAGAAUUCAUGGUAUUCAAUAUUCGUCCCAUAAUGAAACUGUUGUGGCUUUUGGUGGGAAGCUGCUAGCUGUUGUGACACUCAAUCGAUCUCAGUCUGCUGUUUCAAGGUUGAAGAUUUUGCAGAAAUCAAGUGAAACUGACUGGAUAAGGGAUGCCAAAUUUGUUAAUGAUGGAGAUUACCUUGUGACAUUAACUUCCCAUAACAAAGUCUUAAUCCAGAAAACUACCUCCAAAGCUGAAAUCAUUGAAGUACAAGGCGAUGAGCAAUGCAUAUUGUAUUGUGGUAAAAUACUAGGAGAUCAUCUUUCACAGUUGACCAUUCUAGCUGGGACUGUGUUUGGGAACAUCCUCGUUUGGGCACCAUCAACGUCUCAAAAGGAUAAACACCUCUUUCACAGAUUAACAGGUCACAAUGGUGUCAUCUUCUCUAUAAACUAUGAUGAAAUUUCUCAAACAAUCAUAUCAACGUCAGACGACAGAUCAGUUCGCACUUGGAGUCUUCUAUUUGAAGAUGAGAAACCCAGCAGUUUUAACCUCUGGAGCCUGUUCCAGCGAGCGAAAAUCCAGGCCAAGUAUGAACUUUAUGGUCAUGAAGCCCGCGUUUGGAAUAGCGUCGUUAUGCGUCAAAAUCAGGGUGACUCUGCGCUCGUAGCCAGUUUAGGUGAAGAUUCUCGCGUUUGUCUUUGGGACUUAACGAGCGGCACUUUGUUUUCCAAAUUUGAUGCUCAUCCUGGAACAAGCGUUUGGGCCGCUGUAUGGGAUCAAUUACGAAAAUUAUUGGUUACUGCCGGAGGAGACGGAUCCACUAGAAUUUGGAAUGUCAAUCAUUUACAGGAAACAACUUGUCGUCAGCUGAAGCUUCCUGAAGAGGGCCAGGUUCCUCGUUUAGUUGUCGUUACAUCUACUGGUUACUACCGCUACUUGGUCUUCAGUCAACAGGGCAUCAUCUACGGAUGGAAUACAGAUACCCAGCUUUGGACGUCACUCUUCCAGGACGAAAGGCUCGGCAAUGGCAGUGUCUUGGAUUCAGACGGCCGUACGGUUAUAUUUGGAACACGUACUGGGGCUGUAUUCGUGUUCGUUUCCGGUCCUUCGUUGGAAUUGCUUACGACACAUCAACUGGAAAAAUCGAAAAUUUAUAGCGUUCAUUUGGUCGCAUCAGGGCAGUUUAUGGCGUGUCUGGAUAACGGUCGUUUGUUGCUUCUGAAUAUUUUUGAUGGCAAUGACUCGGAACCAAAGACCCGAUUCUUUCUGCCUGAAGGCAAACAGCGUUGGCCAAGUUGUAUUUUGGCCACCCAAAGUCGAUUCAUGAUGGGCGAUCGUGAAGGAAGCCUUCAUCUUUAUUCAACCAAAAAAGAGACUCCUCUUCAAUCGUUUCUGAAUAUCCAUGGCAAAAAUGGCUUGACUGAUAUCAAGAGUGAUCCUCUCGGUCGAAAUCUUUAUUACACAUCGGGAAGAGAUGGUCGUGUAGGUCUUUGGCAUUUAACUGACGACCAAAAUAAGCUGGAAUUGCUGUCACUUACUAACACGAGCCUUGGCUGGAUUGCUCGUUUGCGCUGGAUCAAUCAUCAGUUAACAUACCUGGCUUUUCAAAGCGAUCGAUUCGUUGUGUGGUCGAGCCAGCAACAGAGAAGUCUUAUGCAAGUGCCCUGUGGUGGAGGUCACCGUUCUUGGGACUUUGACGUUACAUCUGACGUCACGCUCCUAUUCAUCAAGGACAAGCAUAUCUAUGAGCAUAGACGCCCAUUGAGUGGCGUUUUCAGCUCUUCUUUGCCCGGCCGCUGCGGAGGACAUAGUAAAUCAGUGUGUCGGGGCAGGUUUAUCGGAUUUAAUGAGCCACUCAUCUUGACUGGAAGUGAAGACACCACAAUGAGAUUGUCUCGUUUGGAAAAGCGAUCCGCUCAAUCUUUGACCAUCAUAACCAAACACGUGUCCAGUGUAAGAGCUCUGGCUGUAAAACAACUUGGCGAUCGAUCUGGAACGUGGCUGAGUGUUUCAGCCGGAGGCAGAGCGCAGUUAUCUGUCGGAUUACUGACACUAUCUGGCCAGGGAGAUCAAAUUCACGUCAUUCACCAUGAUGUACGUACGCAUUUUCUAAGGGGUUGGCUUCGCAGAACGACGAAUAAGCCCUGGAUUCAUUGCGGUGAUCAUCCGUCACUCAUACCUGACCCUGAAACCCGCUACAUGGACGUUGAUGUAGUAGACCGUGGCGAUAGGAACUUCCACAUUAUCGCCGCGUGUUCUGAUAGCUUUAUAAGGAUUUUUAGUUUAGCCCUGGACGGUUGUCGAUUGGAUUUGUUCCACGAAUUGAGCUUCCACAACUGUUGCGUAUUGCAAGUGAAAGUGGUGGCCGAUGCGUAUGGAAAUUCCAUCCUUUUUUCGACAGGGACAAAUGGCCGACUCGCUGUAUGGAACAUCACUUUACUGGAAGAAGAUAAAGGAAUAGAACCCAUAGGCAGCCUUCAGGUCCAUCAAUCGGGGAUCAAUAGUUUGGACUGUCAGUGGGUGGACGUUGAUCGUAUGUUAAUUCUGACGGGAGGCGAUGACAACGCCUUGAUUUGCACCCAAGUCGAGAUCAGCUGCGAGAGGAAUGUGUUGGAAUUAAUCGAUCAGCAAAAGCAGUUCCCCCACGCAGCACAGAUUUCUGGAGUGGCCAUGUUGAGCAACAAUUUAUGCGUGAGCGUAUCACUGGACCAGCGUCUGAUACUCUGGAAGCAACGAGACACUCAGCUGACGUGUCUGUCCACCAUUUGCUGUGAUGUAUCAGACAUUCAAGGGCUGGAUGUAUUUCCAGGUACGACCAAAAGUUUGGUCAUGGUUUAUGGUCAAGGUAUUCAAGUCUUUGAAGUGGACGACUCGACUAGCGUUAUUCAAAAUUUAGAGUAUCCAUCUGCCACAAUUGUCGACCCAUUAUCCGCUUAAGUUGUAGCACUUUGCAGGUGUUUUAUGUGGCCAUUGCGUUUCAAAUGCUUGGCUACCGUUACGUUUGCUGUUGUCCAUCGUUUGAUGACUUGAUUCUUUCAUUUUCUGUUCAAAAUUGAAAAGAACGACGUUACUAUCCGAUGACGUGGCAAAACGGUGAAGAAAAUGGAUCGUUUGAAGGGAUUUUCUUGCGUCAUUGCAAAAGAAAAAAAAACAAGUUUCAGGAAUGGAAUUAUUCUGGGCGGUUUUGUAUUUACGAAAAUGAAAGAGGAGAUUCCAAAUAUGGAGGAAAAUGUUGAAAGGGGCGGGUCGUGAUAACAUCCGCAACACGCCAGCUUGUUUGACAGGUUUUACCAGUGCACUUGGAGAAAGGCCUUUUUAUUAUUUUUAUUUUCAUCAUUAUUAUUGUUUGUAUGCAUGUACAACAGCCGCACAAGACCAUGGCGCACCCAAUUUACAUUUAUUCAGCCUUGGGUUGUGUUCAGGCCCAUGCUAGAUGGAAACAAAAAUCAUUAACAUAAUAAUCCAAUUUGACUUUUGUGGGUUUUUAAAUUGCACCUGGGCAUUCUUGCCGGGUGGGGAAGAAUGAUUUUUUCCUCCCCCUGCAUGCAGCGCGCACAGGUACGAAAUGCCAAGAUGAUUCGAUUUCGACGACCUCCAAAUCUAAUGAAAAAGGAAAAUAAACACGCCUUGGAAGGUUGGUGCCGUCCUUUUAAGGAUUUCGAGCGUUAUAUUUACAUCGUUUCCACCCAAUUGGCCUUAAAUGGACAGCCCAAACGUCACUUCCAACGGAAUCGUUGAUCGUUUUACCGUCUUUUUUUUUUCUUCAAAAAGAUGAUGCCCUGGAACGAGAGACUUUCUGUCGCCCCAAAAUCUCCUCCAUCUAGACGUGUUGAAUAGCGUCACGACGUAAUAAUAAA